RNAcentral lists this ribosomal RNA (187 nucleotides) under Fusarium oxysporum f. sp. gladioli. Its description in RNAcentral is "partial 28S ribosomal RNA". It matches the Rfam family "Eukaryotic large subunit ribosomal RNA", at positions 3214 to 3399 of the family's 3401-position model. RNAcentral also lists the same sequence under 1 other name. The record is from RNAcentral. Lineage: Eukaryota; Fungi; Ascomycota; Sordariomycetes; Hypocreales; Nectriaceae.
UAGCGUCUUAGCAGGCGAUUCUUCCACGGCGCUCGAAGCGCGUCGUGGUAUUUCGCGUAUUGUAAUUUCAACACGAGCGGGGUCAAAUCCUUUGCAGACGACUUAGCUGUGCGAAACGGUCCUGUAAGCAGUAGAGUAGCCUUGUUGUUACGAUCUGCUGAGGGUAAGCCGUCCUUCGCCUCGAUUU